This 87-nucleotide non-coding RNA is filed under the name uncultured Dysosmobacter sp. RNAcentral describes it as "TPP riboswitch (THI element)". It matches the Rfam family "TPP riboswitch aptamer (THI element)", at positions 10 to 89 of the family's 105-position model. From Rfam's summary of the family: Vitamin B(1) in its active form thiamin pyrophosphate (TPP) is an essential coenzyme that is synthesised by coupling of pyrimidine and thiazole moieties in bacteria. Lineage: Bacteria; Bacillati; Bacillota; Clostridia; Eubacteriales; Oscillospiraceae. The record is from RNAcentral.
UGAGCUGGGGAGCUUGUUGAACAGGCUGAGAGGAAGCAUUUGGCUUCGACCCGUGGACCUGACGCGGAUAAUGCCGCCGUAGGGAGU